GAAUAUUGGACAAUGGGCGCAAGCCUGAUCCAGCCAUGCCGCGUGUGUGAAGAAGGCCUUCGGGUUGUAAAGCACUUUAAGUCGGGAGGAAGGUUUCUUGGUUAAUACCCAAGAGCAGUGACGUUACCAACAGAAUAAGCACCGGCUAAUUCCGUGCCAGCAGCCGCGGUAAUACGGAAGGUGCGAGCGUUAAUCGGAAUUACUGGGCGUAAAGCGCACGUAGGUGGCUUCUUAAGUCGGAUGUGAAAGCCCUGGGCUUAACCUGGGGAUUACAUCCGAUACUGGGUGGCUAGAGUACGGUAGAGGGAGGUGGAAUUCCAGGUGUAGCGGUGAAAUGCGUAGAGAUCUGGAGGAACACCGGUGGCGAAGGCGGCCUCCUGGACGGAUACUGACACUGAGGUGCGAAAGCGUGGGGAGCAAACAGG
This 425-nucleotide ribosomal RNA is filed under the name uncultured bacterium. RNAcentral's name for it is "bacterial SSU rRNA". It matches the Rfam family "Bacterial small subunit ribosomal RNA", at positions 359 to 776 of the family's 1533-position model. The record is from RNAcentral.